CAUUAAAUGACUGAAAAAAGUAUUGAUUUUUUAAAUCAAAUUAUAAUAGUUUAUUUACCUAUUUUUAAUGA
This 71-nucleotide transfer RNA is filed under the name Pheidole flavens. RNAcentral's name for it is "tRNA-Lys". The record is from RNAcentral. Lineage: Eukaryota; Metazoa; Arthropoda; Insecta; Hymenoptera; Formicidae.